This 503-nucleotide ribosomal RNA is filed under the name uncultured bacterium. RNAcentral's name for it is "partial 16S ribosomal RNA". It matches the Rfam family "Bacterial small subunit ribosomal RNA", at positions 30 to 523 of the family's 1533-position model. The record is from RNAcentral.
AUUGAACGCUGGCGGCAGGCUUAACACAUGCAAGUCGAGCGGGGUGAUGGUGCUUGCACUAUCACUUAGCGGCGGACGGGUGAGUAAUGCUUAGGAAUCUGCCUAUUAGUGGGGGACAACAUCUCGAAAGGGAUGCUAAUACCGCAUACGUCCUACGGGAGAGAGCAGGGGAUCACUUGUGACCUUGCGCUAAUAGAUGAGCCUAAGUCGGAUUAGCUAGUUGGUGGGGUAAAGGCCUACCAAGGCGACGAUCUGUAGCGGGUCUGAGAGGAUGAUCCGCCACACUGGGACUGAGACCAGACCCAGACUCCUACGGGAGGCAGCAGUGGGGAAUAUUGGACAAUGGGGGGAACCCUGAUCCAGCCAUGCCGCGUGUGUGAAGAAGGCCUUAUGGUUGUAAAGCACUUUAAGCGAGGAGGAGGCUCUUUUGGUUAAUACCCAAGAUGAGUGGACGUUACUCGCAGAAUAAGCACCGGCUAACUCUGUGCCAGCCGCCGCGGUAA